AUGAAUUUCUUGUCCCGUUGUUGCGAUUUCAUCCACUUCUAUUAGGGAAUUGUCCCAUAGAAUAACCAAUCCAUCGGAGUUUCCCACUGCGGGAACUUGGAUCAUUCUUGUUAACUGGAAGUCGUCAACUAGACUUUGGUGGUCUUGCAUUUUGGUUUCAAUUAGGGCUACCAAUGGUGGAUUAUGACAGCUUAUUAAGGACCUAAAGUUCCUCCAAAAUUCAGAGCCAUUACAUCCCC
Molecule: long non-coding RNA, 239 nt
Filed under: Solanum tuberosum (potato)
Lineage: Eukaryota; Viridiplantae; Streptophyta; Magnoliopsida; Solanales; Solanaceae
Description: long non-coding RNA (STUB_LNC011260)
Source: RNAcentral